GAUGAACGCUGGCGGUGUGCCUAAUACAUGCAAGUCGAGCGAACAGAUGAGGAUCUUGCUCCUCUGACGUUAUCGGCGGACGGGAGAGUAACACGUGUAUAACCUACCUAUAAGACUGGGAUAACUUCGGGAAACCGGAGCUAAUAUCGGAUAAUAAAUUGAACCACAUGGUUCAAUAGUUGAAUACGUUUUUGCUGUCGCAUAUAGAUGGAUCCGCGCCGAAUUAGCUAGUUGGUGAGGUAACGGCAUACCAAGGCAAGGAUGAGUAGCCGACCUGACAGGGUGAUGGGGCAGACUGGAACUGAGACACGGUCCAGACUCCUACGGGAGGCAGCAGUAGGGAAUACUCCGCGCUGGGCGAGAGAAUGACGGAGCAACGGCGCGUGAGUGAUGGAGGUCUUCGGAUCGUAAAACUCUGUUAUUAGGGAAGAACACAUGUGUAAGUAACUAUGCACGUAUUGACGGUACCUAAGGAGAAAGCCACGGCUAACUACGUG
This 497-nucleotide ribosomal RNA is filed under the name uncultured bacterium. RNAcentral's name for it is "partial 16S ribosomal RNA". It matches the Rfam family "Bacterial small subunit ribosomal RNA", at positions 28 to 507 of the family's 1533-position model. The record is from RNAcentral.